AAGAAUCCACAAGUUCCCCCACGUUAAUGGUAAAUUGAGAGGUCUCUUUUAAUUCUAAAGCAAGAUCCAAAAUAUCAGUUUUAGAGCGUGUAUUGGCUUGCCUAAAAAACAAUCUGUAUGGUAUUUCAUUAGAGAAAAUUGGAAGGGUAGUAUCCAAAGGGAGUUAGGAGGGUGAGAGAGAAGAGGGAGUAACUAUAGGAAGUGACAUAAGGGUAGAGAAUUUGGAAGAAGGGGAGGUGGGUGGGAUGGUUCCUAAUCAAAUUUUCAAGGGCCCUUUGACUCUUUGCUAGGGCGGGUAAUGUCAUGGAGGUGAUAAUACCUCGCGAUUGGGUCUUGGCGGCUUAUUAUGGUUUUGCUUCGUCUGAAUGAGCUUGCUAGAGGAGGUGGCGAGAGCUGUGAAGUUGCUGCAUGGUGAAAGUUUUAGAGUAAAAAACUUGUGGUUCAGAAGGCUUGUUUUGGACUAGAGAUAAAGAAUAGGGAAGGGGAGAGGGAUGGGAAACAAAAUAGAGGAGAACAAAGGGCAAAAGUAGGAAGGAGAGCAGGGGGAGCUUCAAAGAGAGAAAGGGUAUCCAACAAUGUCCGGAGAGAAGGCUCUAUCUCCUUCAGAGAUGCAAUGGUUGGGAAGAAGCAUGUGUAGCAAUCGAUGGGGGAGGGGAGAACAGAGGAGGUGAAGUGGAUAGGGACGGAGGAUUCCAAUGAAGGUCAUGUGGUUUGCAUCAGGUUGGAAGUGAUAGACAAGGCCCGGAGUAUGCUUGUAACGUUUGAAGAUGCCACCAUUUCCUAGAACAAGAGAUGGGUGGAAGAUUUUUGUGGUUUGGCAGAUGUUGAUUACACUGUUAAACCAAUCUAGUCAAAAGAGGCUUGGAUAUGUGUUUGUCCUGAGUUGAACUUAGAUCAAGCGUUGAUUGUCGGAGCCAUUUUCAGGGAUAGAUCAAUUAAGUAGAUAAGAAAAUGGUCGGAGCGUUCUUUUUUGGUAGUGAAGGGGUAUGGUUCUUAAUUUGGGGAAUCCCUUUAGAGCUUUGGUUUCGAGAAGUAUUUGUAGCAGUUAGCUUAUGUCUAGGUGAAGUAGUAGCGAUCAACGUCGCAAUGGAAGAUGGGGAUGAGCUUAGGGUAGCUCGGGUUUGUGUGAAGAAGAAGGGAGCUAUGACAAGUCCAAAAGCUGUGAAAAUUGCCGUCGAGGAUGUGAGAUUAGAGUUAAGGGUUGAGAGAGGAAAAAUGGGGGUAACCACUUAGAUGGGCGGAAAUCUGGAUGAGAUAGGAAUCCAAAAAUCCAGUCGGAAGCCAUGGAUGCCAGCAAGGGAGACAGAGCAUGUUUAAGUUGCUCUAGCGGUAUUGGACGAAGGGCCUCUUGUGUGCAAGCUUUCCAUUGGUGGAAAGUAAGUGGGUGAGGGAGAAUGCCGGAUCGACAUGUGGGGGAGAGGUCUGUGGGAGCAUCAUAAAUGCAUCCCACCUCUCCGAACCUUCCAAUGGCUAUAGGCUCCGCUUUCGAACCUAUCUUUUUCUCACCACGUGCCUUGUUGGUGGUAUCCUCGGGUGACGUGGCAAUUGGAGAGAGGGGGGUUUGCUUAAGGAAUCACAUCGAUGGUCCAUUCAAGGAUCGAUUUUAAUGCAGAUAGUGGAGAAGUCUUGGUGGUCGGUCCACAUGUGGCAUCAAGAUGGUUGCAGUAUAGCUACUGGAACUCAUGUUAUGUCGACACUUGGAGAGGAUGGGACACAAGCCUCUCUUGCUCUCAUUCUAUCCCUAACGCGCGUGGAGGAAACACAUUCUUUGUCACGAGUGCUUAAUAGGCACAACUUAGUAGAUCUUCCUUUGGGCAAUGCAAAAUACACAUGGUUCAACGGUCAAGAGAAUGCUAUUCUCUCGUGGCUAGAUAGAUUCUUGGUAUCUGUGGUUUGACUUGAGAAAUUCUCGAUGGUUAGCCAAUUUCUGAUUGUCGCCCAAUCAUGCUAGAGGUGGUUGAAGAGAAUUGAGGCUUAAAGCCUUUUAGGUUCAAGCUAGCUUGGUUGGAAAUUGAUGGUUACGAGCGCUUAUAGCUGGUUGGGGGGCCCCUUUGGUAGUAGAAGGUUUUGCUGGAUUAGGAUAUGUCGAAAAUUCAAGCUUUUGAAAGAUAAGAUUAAAGAUUAGAAGAAGGAUGCGCUUGGUGCUUGAGAGGCAGAAUUUGAUAGAAUAGUGAAGGAUAUUCAUGAUUUGGACUUAGUAGAGGAGGUCAAUGGUUUAUCAGUAGAAGAAAGAGAUAAGAGAGUAGCCUUAUAUUUGAGUUAUGCUAAAAAGAAGAGGAAAUUAAGUGGUGUUAGAGAUCAAGAGCAGUGUGGCUUAAAAGAGUUAUAAAUACUCGCUUUUUUCACAGCAUAGCGAGGCUCAGGCGCAUGGAAAUAGGGUUAAUAGUUUGGUUGUGGACGGGUUGAGGAUUGCGGAUAUGGGAUAGAUAUGAGAUUCUAUCAUUAAAUUCUACAAGAAGUUGUUAACUUGUGACUAAUGGAACAAGCCGCGGCUUGAUAAUGUAUAUUUCCAAAAGUUGUCGAGUGAGGACGCUGCUUCUCUUGAAACGCCGAUAUCAGAGGAAGAAGUUAAAGCCACCCUUUAUUCAAUGUGUGGAGAUAAGGCCCCUAGACUUGAUGGUUUUCCCAUGUUUUUCUUUAAGAGAUUUUGGCAAAUUGAUCAAAAGAGAUGUGAUGGAAUUUAUUUCAGAGUUCUUCAAGUAAAGUAGUCUAUCAAAUGAUCUCGGGGCAUCAUUUAUAGCUCUUAUUCCUCUAAAAUAGACGGGGUGAAGCAGUUAAAAGACUUUAGGUCCAUUAGUCUUAUCGGGAGCCCUUAUAAAAAUUCUUGUCAAAGUCCUUGCCUUAAGAUUUCAUGGAGUUUUUUUGAAGAUUAUUGCCGAGAAUCAAGGACCCUUUGUUGCUGAAAGAUAGAUUUUGGAAAGUGCUCGUAUUACUCAUGAAUGCAUCGACUCCAGAAACUGGGAGAGGAAAAGUGGGAUAGUUUGCAAGCUUGACAAUAGAAAGGCUUACAAUCAUGUGGAUUGGAAGUUCUUAGAUUGUAUGCUUGAUAGAUUGUGUUAUGGUCGAAAGUAGAGAGGGGUAGGAUUUGGUCAUGCGUGCAAUUCACCUUUUCUAUCUUGGUCAAUGGGUCGCCAAAAGGUUUCCUCAAGGUGUUCAAGGGUCUUAGACAAGGGGAUCCUUUUUCUCAUUACUUCUUCAUUGUAAUUGGGGAGGCGGUUAGCAAGAUGCUUUAUAAAGGGGGAGGAGAAUGGUUUAAUUAGUGGUUUCAAGGUUUCUGACGAUGAGAUUCAAAUAAGCCAUCUCCAAUAUGCAGAUGAUACUCUUUUGUUUUGUGAUGUGGAUGUGGUCUUAGUGGGUAAUUGUUGGAAAGUUACUGUAUGCUUUGAAGCAGUUUCGGGGCUAAAGAUCAACGUGGCAAAAAGUGAAAUGUUGGGAAUUCAUGUGACCGAUGAGGACUUAUCAUGUUUCGCGACUGUUUUUGGCUGUAAGAAGGGGGUGGUCCUCUCGGCGUAUUUAGGGUUGCCCCUUUGUAUCAAGAAGCGAACAAAUCACCUUUGGGCUAAGGUAUUGAAAGAUUUGAGGGGAAGUUAUCGAGGUGGAAGUGCCGAUAUCUUUUCUUGGGAGGUUGGUUGACUCUCAUUAAAGUGACUUUCUCUCAUAUUCCACUGUUCUUCACAUGUCUCUUCAAAUGUGCUAAAUCGGUGUUGGACAAACUAACAAAGUCGAGAAGAGAUUUUUCUAGAAAGGGCCAAGGAAGAAAGGAAGUUCAUCUUCUCAGAUCGGAAGAGGUGUGCAAGCCGAUUGUUGUAGGUGGAGUUGGUUUAAAAAAUUUGGGAUCCAUGAACUUGACGCUUCUUGUGAAAUGGCAUUGGAGAUUCAGAAUCGAAUUGGGUAGAUUAUGGAGGGAGAUUAUAGUUAGCAAGUAUGGAAUGGAAGUUGGUAUGUGAAGAUCUCCUCUCUACUGAGCCUGUAGUCUUUGGAAAGUGAUAGCGUCGACGGAGCAUAUGUUUUGUAGAGGGAUCGCCUUUUUUGCUUGUGAAUGGGCAUCAUAUCCGUUUCUAGGUGGAUGUUUGGUGUGGAGAUUGGGCGCUUUAAGAUCUUUUUCCAAGAAUGUCUUGCCUCACUCUGGAUUGGUUCAUCUUUGUAGUAUGUUGUUAUUCUCUUUCCGGUGGUUCUGUCAUUUGGAAUCCUCCUUUUUGUAGGAAUAUGGAGGCAAGGUAUCCCGUAUCGGUAUCGGUUGGCGUAACGGUGCCCUCCGAUAUGGAUACGGAUAUGGGGGUGUAACGGCGAUACGGGGGCGUAACGGUGCAAAUUUUAUUUUAUUUUUUGCCAAAAAAAUAUGGAUUAAAUUCGGAAUAUUCUAAGCAUUCCAAAUAUGCAUUCAUUUGUAAAUUGGAACAUGUUUAUGGUGGUGUAACGGUCCACUCUUUAGUGAGAAGUUGUAUCGGACUGUUUGAUGAAUUUAUGAACCAGACAACCUGGAUUUGACUGCAAAACUAAUAUAUUUAAUUUUCUAACUAUCUACCAUCAAUGAUAGAUAUAUUAGAAUGAAUGUAAUAUGAAAAUAUCUUACAUGUGUAGGUGUUUGCAAUUAUUUUUCGUAAUUUAU
Magnolia sinica is the source of this 4609-nucleotide long non-coding RNA. RefSeq lists it as uncharacterized. The record is from RefSeq and is a predicted model, not a curated record. NCBI's taxonomy places the organism in Eukaryota, Viridiplantae, Streptophyta, Magnoliopsida, Magnoliales, Magnoliaceae. The transcript is spliced from 2 exons.